UUGAAAGGGAAACGAUUGAAGUCAGUCGUGCUGGCGGGAAAUCAACCUUUCGAGUGGUGUUUUGGAGUUUUGAAGAGUGUCAAAACCUUUGAGAUUUUAAAAUUUUCGCUCUUUUGGUGACUUUCUCGUGGGUAGGUUAACAUCGAUUUUGAUCAUCAUAAAAAGACUGGAGGAAUGUAGCUUCGAUCUUGUAUUGAAGUGUUAUAGCCUUUGGUAAAUGUGAUGAUUAGGAUCGAGGAUUGCAACGAAUACCCUUCUGGGCUAUCCGCCUGAUCUCUGAUACGUGGCCUUGGCAUCGAAAGCUUGCUUAUGGUAUCAAGGUAUUACGGUCAAAAGGUUAGAACGGAUUACAUUCGUUAAGGAUGUUGACGUA
RNAcentral lists this ribosomal RNA (373 nucleotides) under uncultured Glomeromycotina. RNAcentral's name for it is "LSU rRNA". Lineage: Eukaryota; Fungi; Glomeromycota. The record is from RNAcentral.